This is a small nucleolar RNA of Suncus etruscus (white-toothed pygmy shrew), 136 nucleotides long. RefSeq annotates it as U8 small nucleolar RNA. Lineage: Eukaryota; Metazoa; Chordata; Mammalia; Eulipotyphla; Soricidae. The record is from RefSeq and is a predicted model, not a curated record. The transcript has a single exon.
CCCCCAGGUAGGAUAAUUCUUCCCUGUUUCUCUAUUUAGAGGGUAGAUAUAACAUGAUGGUUGGAGUUUACAUGAUUUGUGAUUAAUGGCGCUGAAUGAGUAGAGCUCACAAUGCCCUAAUUGCCUCCUAUCUGAA